Molecule: ribosomal RNA, 2787 nt
Filed under: Escherichia coli
Lineage: Bacteria; Pseudomonadati; Pseudomonadota; Gammaproteobacteria; Enterobacterales; Enterobacteriaceae
Description: bacterial LSU rRNA
Rfam family: Bacterial large subunit ribosomal RNA
Source: RNAcentral
AGCGUACACGGUGGAUGCCCUGGCAGUCAGAGGCGAUGAAGGACGUGCUAAUCUGCGAUAAGCGUCGGUAAGGUGAUAUGAACCGUUAUAACCGGCGAUUUCCGAAUGGGGAAACCCAGUGUGUUUCGACACACUAUCAUUAACUGAAUCCAUAGGUUAAUGAGGCGAACCGGGGGAACUGAAACAUCUAAGUACCCCGAGGAAAAGAAAUCAACCGAGAUUCCCCCAGUAGCGGCGAGCGAACGGGGAGCAGCCCAGAGCCUGAAUCAGUAUGUGUGUUAGUGGAAGCGUCUGGAAAGGCGCGCGAUACAGGGUGACAGCCCCGUACACAAAAAUGCACAUGCUGUGAGCUCGAUGAGUAGGGCGGGACACGUGGUAUCCUGUCUGAAUAUGGGGGGACCAUCCUCCAAGGCUAAAUACUCCUGACUGACCGAUAGUGAACCAGUACCGUGAGGGAAAGGCGAAAAGAACCCCGGCGAGGGGAGUGAAAAAGAACCUGAAACCGUGUACGUACAAGCAGUGGGAGCUCGCUUAGGCGUGUGACUGCGUACCUUUUGUAUAAUGGGUCAGCGACUUAUAUUCUGUAGCAAGGUUAACCGAAUAGGGGAGCCGAAGGGAAACCGAGUCUUAACUGGGCGUUAAGUUGCAGGGUAUAGACCCGAAACCCGGUGAUCUAGCCAUGGGCAGGUUGAAGGUUGGGUAACACUAACUGGAGGACCGAACCGACUAAUGUUGAAAAAUUAGCGGAUGACUUGUGGCUGGGGGUGAAAGGCCAAUCAAACCGGGAGAUAGCUGGUUCUCCCCGAAAGCUAUUUAGGUAGCGCCUCGUGAAUUCAUCUCCGGGGGUAGAGCACUGUUUCGGCAAGGGGGUCAUCCCGACUUACCAACCCGAUGCAAACUGCGAAUACCGGAGAAUGUUAUCACGGGAGACACACGGCGGGUGCUAACGUCCGUCGUGAAGAGGGAAACAACCCAGACCGCCAGCUAAGGUCCCAAAGUCAUGGUUAAGUGGGAAACGAUGUGGGAAGGCCCAGACAGCCAGGAUGUUGGCUUAGAAGCAGCCAUCAUUUAAAGAAAGCGUAAUAGCUCACUGGUCGAGUCGGCCUGCGCGGAAGAUGUAACGGGGCUAAACCAUGCACCGAAGCUGCGGCAGCGACGCUUAUGCGUUGUUGGGUAGGGGAGCGUUCUGUAAGCCUGCGAAGGUGUGCUGUGAGGCAUGCUGGAGGUAUCAGAAGUGCGAAUGCUGACAUAAGUAACGAUAAAGCGGGUGAAAAGCCCGCUCGCCGGAAGACCAAGGGUUCCUGUCCAACGUUAAUCGGGGCAGGGUGAGUCGACCCCUAAGGCGAGGCCGAAAGGCGUAGUCGAUGGGAAACAGGUUAAUAUUCCUGUACUUGGUGUUACUGCGAAGGGGGGACGGAGAAGGCUAUGUUGGCCGGGCGACGGUUGUCCCGGUUUAAGCGUGUAGGCUGGUUUUCCAGGCAAAUCCGGAAAAUCAAGGCUGAGGCGUGAUGACGAGGCACUACGGUGCUGAAGCAACAAAUGCCCUGCUUCCAGGAAAAGCCUCUAAGCAUCAGGUAACAUCAAAUCGUACCCCAAACCGACACAGGUGGUCAGGUAGAGAAUACCAAGGCGCUUGAGAGAACUCGGGUGAAGGAACUAGGCAAAAUGGUGCCGUAACUUCGGGAGAAGGCACGCUGAUAUGUAGGUGAAGUCCCUCGCGGAUGGAGCUGAAAUCAGUCGAAGAUACCAGCUGGCUGCAACUGUUUAUUAAAAACACAGCACUGUGCAAACACGAAAGUGGACGUAUACGGUGUGACGCCUGCCCGGUGCCGGAAGGUUAAUUGAUGGGGUCAGCGCAAGCGAAGCUCUUGAUCGAAGCCCCGGUAAACGGCGGCCGUAACUAUAACGGUCCUAAGGUAGCGAAAUUCCUUGUCGGGUAAGUUCCGACCUGCACGAAUGGCGUAAUGAUGGCCAGGCUGUCUCCACCCGAGACUCAGUGAAAUUGAACUCGCUGUGAAGAUGCAGUGUACCCGCGGCAAGACGGAAAGACCCCGUGAACCUUUACUAUAGCUUGACACUGAACAUUGAGCCUUGAUGUGUAGGAUAGGUGGGAGGCUUUGAAGUGUGGACGCCAGUCUGCAUGGAGCCGACCUUGAAAUACCACCCUUUAAUGUUUGAUGUUCUAACGUUGACCCGUGAUCCGGGUUGCGGACAGUGUCUGGUGGGUAGUUUGACUGGGGCGGUCUCCUCCUAAAGAGUAACGGAGGAGCACGAAGGUUGGCUAAUCCUGGUCGGACAUCAGGAGGUUAGUGCAAUGGCAUAAGCCAGCUUGACUGCGAGCGUGACGGCGCGAGCAGGUGCGAAAGCAGGUCAUAGUGAUCCGGUGGUUCUGAAUGGAAGGGCCAUCGCUCAACGGAUAAAAGGUACUCCGGGGAUAACAGGCUGAUACCGCCCAAGAGUUCAUAUCGACGGCGGUGUUUGGCACCUCGAUGUCGGCUCAUCACAUCCUGGGGCUGAAGUAGGUCCCAAGGGUAUGGCUGUUCGCCAUUUAAAGUGGUACGCGAGCUGGGUUUAGAACGUCGUGAGACAGUUCGGUCCCUAUCUGCCGUGGGCGCUGGAGAACUGAGGGGGGCUGCUCCUAGUACGAGAGGACCGGAGUGGACGCAUCACUGGUGUUCGGGUUGUCAUGCCAAUGGCACUGCCCGGUAGCUAAAUGCGGAAGAGAUAAGUGCUGAAAGCAUCUAAGCACGAAACUUGCCCCGAGAUGAGUUCUCCCUGACUCCUUGA